GUCCCAAGGGUUCGGCUGUUCGCCGAUUAAAGCGGCACGCGAGCUGGGUUCAGAACGUCGUGAGACAGUUUGGUCUCUAUCCUCUGCGCUCGUUGGAAUCCUGGGGAGGCCUGCCCAUAGUACGAGAGGACCUGGGUGGACGAACCUCUGGUAUGCCGGUUGUCGCGCCAGCGGCACGGCCGGUUGGCUACGUUCGGGAGGGAUAACCGCUGAAAGCAUCUAAGCGGGAAGCCUGCUCCGAGAUUAGGAUUCCUUACGGUCUUGAACCGUUGAAGCCCGCAUGUGGAACACGUGUUUGAUAGGCCGGAGGUGGAAGCCCCGCGAGGGGUGGAGCCGACCGGUACUAACGGGCGACGGCGACACAGC
RNAcentral lists this ribosomal RNA (366 nucleotides) under Bifidobacterium longum. RNAcentral describes it as "partial 23S ribosomal RNA". It matches the Rfam family "Bacterial large subunit ribosomal RNA", at positions 2562 to 2925 of the family's 2925-position model. Lineage: Bacteria; Bacillati; Actinomycetota; Actinomycetes; Bifidobacteriales; Bifidobacteriaceae. The record is from RNAcentral.